Molecule: ribosomal RNA, 105 nt
Filed under: Poa curtifolia
Lineage: Eukaryota; Viridiplantae; Streptophyta; Magnoliopsida; Poales; Poaceae
Description: partial 26S ribosomal RNA
Rfam family: Eukaryotic large subunit ribosomal RNA
Source: RNAcentral
GCGACCCCAGGUCAGGCGGGACUACCCGCUGAAUUUAAGCAUAUAAAUAAGCGGGAGGAGAAGAAACUUACAAGGAUUCCCCUAGUAACGGCGAGCGAACCGGGA